Long non-coding RNA from Bufo gargarizans (Asiatic toad), 1880 nucleotides. RefSeq lists it as uncharacterized. The record is from RefSeq and is a predicted model, not a curated record. The transcript has 2 exons. Lineage: Eukaryota; Metazoa; Chordata; Amphibia; Anura; Bufonidae.
GCCAUCUGUAUGCAAAUCCGAUGGUCUGAUUCAAGCCUGGACAUGUCUAGGGUUACAUAAGACUUGCAGUGUGUGUAUAAAUGCAUGUGUCCAAGACCCUAAAUAAAUCAGUCAGUCCCUGUUUCAAGUCAUACAGCAACGUCUGGUGAGUGAUUCCAGGGCGCCACACAUUGUACCAAGAAGGCCGGGCCACUCGGCAGUCGGGCUGAUCUCCACCGUGGGUGCCCCAUCCCCUCCGCAGACGUCCGAGACAUCACCAACCAGGGGGUCAGAUAGGAGCAGGACCGCAGGCGGACAUCCCAUUCCGUCACAUCCACCUCCACAACGUUCAACAACUUCUAAGAAACAUUCUGGUGCUGCAUAUGAAGGCUCUAAUCGCCCUGGGGAAGCACAAUCCACCACAAGGGAAACGACACCCUCCUCAUCUUUUUUAGGACAAGGUCCGACUCCCACAGGACCAGACGAGGAGGCAGGAGACAACACAAGUGGAGGAAACUCCAAAGAACAGCGUUCCCAAAAGAACAGAACUUUACGCCCAAAAAUCACAUCAGUGUCAACAAUCAACACUACUACUAAGACAACAGUGAUCAACAUUUACUUUGUCAUCUCUAGUCUGCUGCUUCCUGUUGGUUUCCGUAUUGAGAGACAUAAAGAUCAUUUACAUUUAUUAUUCAAAGGUCUGCUCUCCUGGGGAUUACAAUUGCAACAAAUGGAUUUCUCUCUUCCUUAGACACAGGGUUUUGGAAUUAUGUUCAUACAUGUUACUUUCUUCCAUGAGCGGCUUUGUUGUUGGGUUGAUUUUUAAUAAAGUGCCCAGAAAUGCUGAUCUCUGUGAUCUUGGAGUUUUUGGGAUUAUUAGUUUGGUCCCGGGUUGAGGGACACAAACCUGUGCCCCCUAAUGUGGGACCAUAAAGAGGUGGGUGGAACUAUGCCAUUGAUCCUGACUAGUGGCCCCACCUUAUCCCUUUAUAUCUCCUUUCUUAUUGUGAGAUGUGUUAAGCCACGGACAGUGGUUAUCACACCUCCCUCUUUAAUAUUGUUCUUUAUGCACCCCAUUUAUUGUCCCCAUGAAUCUAUAAUGAGUAUUGACUCCAGAUUUAUGGAGUAUACUGCCAUGUUGGAGGUUAUACUCCUUUAUAUAUUAUAAGUUCCUGUGUCUGAUUAUUAUUUUUUAAUCAAGAUGGGUUGUAAGAUAUUCAAUAUUCAAUUAUAUUCAGAUAUUCAAUAUUUUACAAUCUAUCUUUAAGUAUUGUAUCCUCAGGUGGUCAUUCCUUGUACUGGUCUAUCUGGUAUAGCUGAUGAGGACUGCGCAUGUCAGGCUUUGACAGUGCUCCUUCUCCUUUACUUGGCGUCCUUGCGAUUCUCUAGGAGCACACACAUGAUUGGGCGGUGACGCUCUUUGGAGCGCUCACGCGACCAGCGAGAUGACGCUCCUCAGUCCCGUGAGGCUUGCCACUGGUAACACAAGACUGGCGCUGCCGUGACACGCGCACUGCCUCAUGGAGGACGCAAUCUCUCACACUAGGAGCCACCAACGAUGUAACAGGUGUUUUUGUAUAUAUUAUACAUUACAGCUGCUGCUGAUUUUUAUUGCACUUGGCACUUUAUACAGGUGAUGUCACUGAUUUAUGCACAGGCACUUUACAAUAUAGUUUACCUUAUACCUCAUACCUUAUAAGGAUGAAUUUAUACAUGAAUUACUAGUUGUUAUGAAAUAAGUUAUCACAUUAUUAAUCAUUGAUGCACUUAAAUGCAAUAGAGUCCAUGUAAUGCAAACUGUCCUUUGUUUUACUUUAAAUUCUUUAUCUGAACACAAAAAUGUCUCUUUAUGCCAAAUCCUAUAUACAAUGAUAAGUAAUAAAAGGAAAGCUCUGACCUUA